GACGAACGCUGGCGGCGCGCCUAAUGCAUGCAAGUCGAGCGACGCAUGCCCGGUGGGUAACCACUAGGUAUGACGGAGCGGCGAACGGGUGAGUAUCACGUGAGGAACCUGCCCUGAAGACCGGGAUAGCCCGGGGAAACCCGGAUUAAUACCGGAUACCCUCAAAGGAUCGCAUGGUCCGUUGAGGAAAGGCCUUUGUGCUUCGGGAUGGUCUCGCGGCCUAUCAGCUAGUUGGUGAGGUAACGGCUCACCAAGGCAACGACGGGUAGCUGGUCUGAGAGGACGAUCAGCCACACUGGGACUGAGACACGGCCCAGACUCCUACGGGAGGCAGCAGCAGGGAAUCUUGUCCAAUGGGCGAAAGCCUGAGACAGCGACGCCGCGUGAGGGAUGAAGGCCUUCGGGUUGUAAACCUCUUUCAGGAGGGACGAAAUUGACGGUACCUCCAGAAGAAACCCCGGCCAACUACGUG
RNAcentral lists this ribosomal RNA (472 nucleotides) under uncultured bacterium. Its description in RNAcentral is "bacterial SSU rRNA". It matches the Rfam family "Bacterial small subunit ribosomal RNA", at positions 28 to 507 of the family's 1533-position model. The record is from RNAcentral.